GAUGAAGAACGCAGCGAAAUGCGAUACGUAAUGUGAAUUGCAGAAUUCAGUGAAUCAUCGAAUCUUUGAACGCAUAUUGCGCUCUCUGGUAUUCCGGAGAGCAAGCUUGUUUGAGUAUCAGUAAACACCUCAACUCCCUUUUCUUUUUUGAAAUUGGAGCUGGACUUGAGUGAUCCCAACGCUUUCUUCCAAGAAAGUGGCGGGUUGCUUGAAAUGCAGGUGCAGCUGAACUUUUCUCUGAGCUAUAAGCAUAUCUAUUUAGUCUGCCUAAAAAACAGAUUAUUACCUUUGCUGCAGCUAACAUAAAGGAGACUAGUUCUUGUGCUGACUGAUGCAGGAUUCACAGAGACAGCUUCGGCUGACUUUGUAAACUCGAUCUCAAAUCAAGUAAGACUACCCGCUGAACUUAAGCAUAUCAAUAAGCGGAGGA
RNAcentral lists this unclassified non-coding RNA (430 nucleotides) under soil metagenome. RNAcentral's name for it is "partial contains 5.8S ribosomal RNA, internal transcribed spacer 2, and large subunit ribosomal RNA". The stretch from base 1 to 120 matches the Rfam family "5.8S ribosomal RNA", at positions 35 to 154 of the family's 154-position model. The record is from RNAcentral.